GACGAACGCUGGCGGCGUGCUUAACACAUGCAAGUCGAACGGAAAGGCCCUGCUUUUGUGGGGUGCUCGAGUGGCGAACGGGUGAGUAACACGUGAGUAACCUGCCCUUGACUUUGGGAUAACUUCAGGAAACUGGGGCUAAUACCGGAUAGGAGCUCCUGCUGCAUGGUGGGGGUUGGAAAGUUUCGGCGGUUGGGGAUGGACUCGCGGCUUAUCAGCUUGUUGGUGGGGUAGUGGCUUACCAAGGCUUUGACGGGUAGCCGGCCUGAGAGGGUGACCGGCAACAUGGGGACUGAGAUACGGCCCAGACUCCUACGGGAGGAAGCAGUGGGGAAUAUGGCACAAGGGGCGGAAGCCUGAUGCAGCAACGCCGCGUGCGGGAUGACGGCCUUCGGGUUGUAAACCGCUUCCGCCUGUGACGAAGCGUGAGGGACGGUAAGGGGUAAAGAAGCACCGGCGAACUACG
Molecule: ribosomal RNA, 466 nt
Filed under: uncultured bacterium
Lineage: Bacteria
Description: partial 16S ribosomal RNA
Rfam family: Bacterial small subunit ribosomal RNA
Source: RNAcentral